Oncorhynchus keta (chum salmon) is the source of this 1437-nucleotide long non-coding RNA. RefSeq lists it as uncharacterized. The transcript has 6 exons. The record is from RefSeq and is a predicted model, not a curated record. Lineage: Eukaryota; Metazoa; Chordata; Actinopteri; Salmoniformes; Salmonidae.
CGGUAGGUCAGCGGUGCUGUAGGUCAGCGGUACGGUAGGUCAGCGGUACGGUAGGUCAGCGGUGCGGUAGGUCAGCGGUGCGGUAGGUCAGCGGUGCUGUAGGUCAGCGGUGCGGUAGGUCAGCGGUGCGGUAGGUCAGCGGUGCGGUAGGUCAGCGGUGCGGUAGGUCAGCGGUGCGGUAGGUCAGCGGUGCGGUAGGUCAGCGGUGCGGUAGGUCAGCGGUGCGGUAGGUCAGCGGUGCGGUAGGUCAGCGGUGCGGUAGGUCAGCGGUGCGGUAGGUCAGCGGGUGCGGUAGGUCAGCGGUGCGGUAGGUCAGCGGUGCGGUAGGUCAGCGGUGCGGUAGGUCAGCGGUGCGGUAGGUCAGCGGUGCUGUAGGUCAGCGGUGCGGUAGGUCAGCGGUGCGGUAGGUCAGCGGUGCUGUAGGUCAGCGGUGCUGUAGGUCAGCGGUACGGUAGGUCAGCGGUGCUGUAGGUCAGCGGGUACGGUAGGUCAGCGGUGCUGUAGGUCAGCGGUACUGUAGGUCAGCGGUACUGUAGGUCAGCGGUACGGUAGGUCAGCGGUGCGGUAGGUCAGCGGUGCGGUAGGUCAGUGGUACGGUAGGUCAGCGGGUGCUGUAGGUCAGCGGGUGCUGUAGGUCAGCGGUACGGUAGGUCAGUGGUACGGUAGGUCAGCGGUACUGUAGGUCAGCGGUACGGUAGGUCAGAGACACCUGCGGAGACGUGGGCUGGGGUUAAAAAUAUAAUACAAAACACAUCACGACAAGAGAGACACCACAACACUACAUAAAGAGAGACCUAAGACAACAACACAGCGUGGUAGCAACACAGCGUGGUAGCAACACAGCGUGGUAGCAACACAGCGUGGUAGGAGAACAAAACAUGGUAUAAACAUUAUUGGGCCCAGACAACAGCACAAAGGCAAGAAGGUAGAGACAACAAUACAUCAGGCGAAGCAGCCUGUCAGUAAGAGUCUCCAUGAUUGAGUCUGAAUAAAGAUGGGUCUAUAGUCUACCAUUCCUUUUGAGGGUCUUCUGCCAACAUCAUUAUGGGAUAAAAGAUGUUUGAUUUGAGCAGUGUGGGGGUCUUCUGCCAACAUCAUUAUGGGAUAAAAGGUGCGUUUGAUUUGAGCAGUGUGGGGGUCUUCUGCCAACAUCAUUAUGGGAUAAAAGGUGUGUUUGAUUUGAGCAGUGUGGGGGUCUUCUGCCAACAUCAUUAUGGGAUAAAAGGUGUGUUUGAUUUGAGCAGUGUGGGGGUCUUCUGCCAACAUCAUUAUGGGAUAAAAGGUGCGUUUGAUUUGAGCAGUGUGGGGGUCUUCUGCCAACAUCAUUAUGGGAUAAAAGGUGCGUUUGAUUUGAGCAGUGUGGGGGUCUUCUGCCAACAUCAUUAUGGGAUAAAAGGUGUGUUUGAUUUGAGCAGUGUGGGGGUCUUCUGCCAACAU